This 489-nucleotide ribosomal RNA is filed under the name uncultured bacterium. Its description in RNAcentral is "partial 16S ribosomal RNA". It matches the Rfam family "Bacterial small subunit ribosomal RNA", at positions 30 to 507 of the family's 1533-position model. The record is from RNAcentral.
AUUGAACGCUGGCGGCAUGCCUAACACAUGCAAGUCGAACGGUAGCAGGCGAACGGGUGCCUUCUUGCUGCGGAGUGGCGGGUGAUAGAGCAGUACGUGCCAGUCUGGCGUGUGGAGGGGGGUGACAGCUGGGAAAUGUCGCUAUUCGAGCGUAAUAUCAACGGAUUGAAGCGUGGGACCUUUAGCGAUUCGCCAGACGAUGAGCCGAUGUGGGAUUAGGUAGUUGGUGGGCUAAAGGCUUACCAAGCCGACGAUCGGUAGCUGGUCUGAGAGGAUGACCAGCCACACUGGGACUGAGACACGGCCCAGACUCCUACGGGAGGCAGCAGUGGGGAAUAUUGCGCAAUGGGCGCAAGCCUGACCCAGCCAUGCCGCGUGCAGGAUGAAGGCCUUCGGGUUGUAAAGUUCUUUUGUACGGAAGGAAAAGUCUUCUGUUAAUACAGGAGUGUAUUGACGUUACCGUAAGAAUAAGCACCGGCUAACUCCGUG